This 523-nucleotide long non-coding RNA is filed under the name Bos taurus (domestic cattle). RNAcentral's name for it is "long non-coding RNA NONBTAT022103". The record is from RNAcentral. Lineage: Eukaryota; Metazoa; Chordata; Mammalia; Artiodactyla; Bovidae.
AUUUGCUUUAGAAUUAACUUCAAGUUUGUCAGAAUUAUUAGGAAAUAAAGUGAAAACAAAUGACAAUAUAGAAAAGGAGAAAGAACAACCGUAAUGUAAGAUAUUCUCUAGUAGAACUGAUAACCUGGCUUCUAAAAGUCAGUAUCAUUAUUUUUAAAAAUGAGGGAAAGGGCUGCCAUAAAUUUUAAAAGACAUAGCGUCAAGCAUAACAUAACUCCUACUUUGAACAUACCGAUUGUAAAAAGACACUUUGGAUUGCCUAGAGCAUAUUCAAUACUAACUAAGUAUAGGUGAUAGUAAGGAAUUGUUAUGUACGAAAAUGUUCAUAUGUUUAAAGAUGCUUAAGAAUAUAAAAAUGAUGUGACAACUGGAAUUAACUUUAAAAUACUUAAGUAGAUAGUAUAAAUAGAGCAAGCAUAGCAAAAACCUAGGUAAUUGUAUAAACUAAAGAGUGGAUAGAAGGAAUCAUUCUAUAUUUUGCAUGGUUAAAGUGUAUCAAUGAAAUUUCUUUUUUGAAAAAGAG